UAUAGCCAUUUCGCAGUAGUAUAGCACAGAAAGUAAUCUAGUAGUGAAUAAAUACCGAAAAUAACAUAGCACCUUUUUCCUUACUUAACUCUAAUCUGUCUUUUGUUAUGCAUGUAUUACUGAGGCACAGUUACAAUGUAGACUUUUUACUCACGAUUUUGUAUAUUUGUGUUCUUAUCUGGCAAGGUUUAACUCAUUGGGUUUUCAACCCAAGGUUGGGACCUUUAUUGUCUGGGAGAUGAUGCCUAAUACUUUCUCAUACAGAAGAAAAGAAGUGGUGCAUGGAAGUCCGUGUGCUGGAGAGUUUAAAGUGAGGUGGCCUGCACUUUUCUAUGUUGAUGAGAUAAAUGCUGAGUUUCGGCGAAUUAUAACACAUCCGCUGGAGAUGACCUUCAUGGCACAGUUGGACAGUCUUCAGCCUCAGCUGAAGAAGGGAGGUGUCACAGGCCAGAAACCAGCCAAACAUCUGCACAUCUGACAAGAGUAACAGCCUGGAUUAUUACUGUAAGACACUUUUCCACAUAAAGGAUGAUGAAAUGUUAUAGAAGCAAAAUCAUCCCUAUUUUCUCAGG
Sphaeramia orbicularis (orbiculate cardinalfish) is the source of this 572-nucleotide long non-coding RNA. RefSeq lists it as uncharacterized. The record is from RefSeq and is a predicted model, not a curated record. Lineage: Eukaryota; Metazoa; Chordata; Actinopteri; Kurtiformes; Apogonidae. The transcript is spliced from 4 exons.